This 429-nucleotide ribosomal RNA is filed under the name Chloroflexota bacterium. RNAcentral describes it as "Chloroflexi bacterium partial 16S ribosomal RNA". It matches the Rfam family "Bacterial small subunit ribosomal RNA", at positions 355 to 776 of the family's 1533-position model. The record is from RNAcentral. Lineage: Bacteria; Bacillati; Chloroflexota.
UGGGGAAUAUUGCACAAUGGGCGCAAGCCUGAUGCAGCCAUGCCGCGUGUGUGAAGAAGGCCUUCGGGUUGUAAAGCACUUUCAGCGGGGAGGAAGGCGUUAAGGUUAAUAACCUUGGCGAUUGACGUUACCCGCAGAAGAAGCACCGGCUAACUCCGUGCCAGCAGCCGCGGUAAUACGGAGGGUGCAAGCGUUAAUCGGAAUUACUGGGCGUAAAGCGCACGCAGGCGGUCUGUCAAGUCGGAUGUGAAAUCCCCGGGCUCAACCUGGGAACUGCAUUCGAAACUGGCAGGCUAGAGUCUUGUAGAGGGGGGUAGAAUUCCAGGUGUAGCAGUGAAAUGCGUAGAGAUCUGGGGGAAUACCGGUGGCGAAGGCGGCCCCCUGGACAAAGACUGACGCUCAGGUGCGAAAGCGUGGGGAGCAAACAGG